UACGUAGGGGGCGAGCGUUGUCCGAAGUUACUGGGCGUAAAGGGCUCGUAGGCGGCCAACUAAGUCAGACGUGAAAUCCCCAGGCUCAACCUGGGAACUGCGUCUGAUACUGGAUGGCUUGAAUCCGGGAGAGGGGUGCAGAAUUCCAGGUGUAGCGGUGAAAUGCGUAGAUAUCUGGAGGAAUACCGGUGGCGAAGGCGGCAUCCUGGACCGGCAUUGACGCUGAGGAGCGAAAGCUAGGGGAGCAAACGGG
This 253-nucleotide ribosomal RNA is filed under the name uncultured bacterium. RNAcentral's name for it is "partial 16S ribosomal RNA". It matches the Rfam family "Bacterial small subunit ribosomal RNA", at positions 524 to 776 of the family's 1533-position model. The record is from RNAcentral.